RNAcentral lists this unclassified non-coding RNA (335 nucleotides) under Hevea brasiliensis (rubber tree). Lineage: Eukaryota; Viridiplantae; Streptophyta; Magnoliopsida; Malpighiales; Euphorbiaceae. The record is from RNAcentral.
AAGAAUCCUUGGAGAGAAGUAAUGAUGCCAUCUCUGUUUUGCAUCCUCUAUCAAAACUGCUGGAAGGUGGAAACACUUGUGCUGCUGGUUAUGAAACUUACAAAGAGAUCUGCAGUUCACCCAUCUCCAAAGUUCUCUUUGCAGAUCAGGCAGAUGCAGUUGGUAUCAGAUGGAAGACAAGGUUGGUAGAAUCCAAAUUAGAGGCACAAUCCCAAGAGCAAGAAAAUUUUUGUGAAGAAAAUGUAGCAACUACUACAUCAAUAUCUGUUGAAAAAAGCAAGACAGGCAAACAACAUGUGAUAGAUGAUUUGCUGAGUCGCAGAUCAAAAUGUGAU